This 2521-nucleotide long non-coding RNA is filed under the name Volvox carteri. RNAcentral's name for it is "long non-coding RNA (VCAR_LNC000959)". Lineage: Eukaryota; Viridiplantae; Chlorophyta; Chlorophyceae; Chlamydomonadales; Volvocaceae. The record is from RNAcentral.
AAACAGAAGAGCUAAUGUAUGGAAGGUGACGUAUAUGAUGUUGAUCGGCGCCCAUUUCGUUUUGUCAGUUCGGCGUGGUCGCGGCGUAAACCCAAAAUGGCGAGGCCCAGCCAUUGUCGCAGUCCAGCGUGCAAACUUAUGUCAAUCGACAUCAUCCAUUUCUGUGAUACAAUAGAUUUGCAUCAACGCAACAUGAAGGAUGUCUGGCAAAGGGUAACCAGCUACUUUGCAGCUGCAAGCAAUGGCGCUGGGUAGGAGGAUGUUGCGGUGAUCGUGUCAAAGGACAUCAUGUAAAUGAAUUACAGUAUUACCCAGCAGUGUGUAAAGAAACCAAACAUUGCGGCAAUCGGCAAGCUUUGGCGCCCUCCGAUGGGCUGCACGACACUACAGAAGAAAAAUUCGUAGGUGAACGUCAUUGAAGAGCAUGUAAAUUUAGCCGAAACUAGCCCAAAUGUGAAUUGCGAAGAAUGGGAAUAAUUGCUCGCAUUUCCCACGCUGCUAUCUAGCUGUGUAGUUUUGACAACCCCCAUGGUCCGGGCGCCGGCACAUGCUAGCAUUGGGUUGCAAGAUGCAGAGCCCUAUAAUUAGUAUAUGAUUCGAAUGAUUUAAGGGCCUCAUGAGUAUGCCGGUCCCUUACGCAACGCAACAUAUAGAUACAAACGGCGAACACAUUGAAGAACGGAGACGAGCGUAGGAGAAGGCGGCAUUUAAUAAGUUACGUAACAGGCUACAACCUGACAAGUUGGGUCGAGGAUUAGCUUUUCCAUAGCAUCGGUACCUCGCAGGUUUUGCGCCCAUCAGACUUACAAAUCAAUCAGAGAGUCGUGUCAACAAUAUCCAGCAUGAAGUAGCUGUUGAAAGUUGGCGACGGAUGAGGCGCUUAAUGAGGUAUGUGGGGUACCACUAUGUGCGGUAAGCUGUAGUAAAACCGAAUUGCCAGACGCCACGCCAGCGUUGAUCAGGUGACCAGUGGGAGCUCCCCCGGACACCCCGAACCCCCCCCAGUCCCGUAUGAAAUGAAACGUGGAUUCUCACGCUUGUAACCAGUAUGUGCACAACUCUUUAAUCUGAAGUGAUGAACCAUAUUAACCUUGAUUUUCUGUGUUGGCGAUUUAGUUUUGAUGGCUGUUCUGUGCAAGGCACGGACUUCAAGCCGCAUCAGCAGAUCCUGAACGUAAAAUGGGAUUUAAGGUUAAGAUAUAUUUUUUAAAAUACAACAGCGUCCUCAUUACCUGUAUCUAAUCUGCUUGGCAUGUGCAGCAUACAGCAUGCAUAUCGACGCACGACAGCAUGGAAGAAGUCAGCCCCGUUGGGCUUGGUAUUACCAAAAUAGCAUAUGUGUGGUAUGCAUUGCGCAAUCGUAUGACAUAAUCUGUUCGGCGGCAUCAUGAUGGCCAGCAAUACAGUCACUAGUAACCACGUCGACCUACCAACCUGCUCAAUCUGUUUGUGUGAAUAAUCACGUGGGCGAAGGAAAAAUUCAAAAUAGGUUUAGACUGGUAGUGCUUUCAUCGGGCGUUAGGAAGCCUUGGGAUUUGGGGUGCGGGCUAUGCCAGCCUAUUGAUGAUAGCUAUCAUCAAUCUCGGGACCCAGGACUUGCCCUUCAGCCCGGACACCAACCGUACACUGCGGACGACCUUCUCCACCUGGUGGAGCAGCUGCAGCAGGACUUUGGUUUAUCCCCUUAAGUUCCCCUUUAGGGAAUGAAGACGAAGGGGACCAACGACUGUAGUUUAAUCUAUCAAGCUAGUAGCUCUAACGUAUUUAAAAAUACGUGACAGAACACGACAGUCAAUGGAGAUGGUCCUGCUGUCCCUUCGGCGAGGUGAGGACUUGCUGCCUACACGGCAGCUAGAGGCAGCCUAUAGACGCUAUGUUGAACGCGCCUCUUUUCCGCCCAUCUCAACUUGCGCGGCGGCUGCCGUACUUUCCUCCACGUGAUCCGCCAUGGCGCCCUACAUCUCUACUAAAUGUAGACUUCAAAUCCCCCGCCAUCAUGUGCUCGCCCCACCUCCGCCUCACCCCCGUAACCUUUGCUUGCAGGUAUGAGGCACCAAGCACAAUGCAAUAAAAUAGCCGCUUGGUCUGGAUGUACGGUGCUGCGGACAGGGAAGCGUCCGCUGGCCGGGUACAUGUUACGAGCUGGCGAGGGCUCGUAAGGCCCAGACGAGCAAGGGAGCUCCUGGACCUCCGCGAGUUCUAGCGUAGUCGAAAAGAUAAAAGAAAAAGGGUUAUGAAGCCAGUCUGCGAGAGAAAUAAAUAACUAGACUAGGCGGGCGUGGCCUUUCUACUCGGCUAUCAACGUGCAUCGCCGCAUGCAGAUGGUAUGAACGACCUGUAAAGUCCGCGCUGAUCACCAAUGUCCAUGACAGACCUCAUAUUAGCACGGACUCGAUAUCCGCCUAGCGUACACCUAUAGGUUGAGGAGCCCCUCCCGUAGGUCCCUGUAGGCGCGACACUCUAGCAACAUGUGAAACUCAUCUUCUACUGUAUUAUUGUUUGCAACCACAAACCCCGCACC